UACGUAGGGGGCAAGCGUUGUCCGGAAUCAUUGGGCGUAAAGCGCGUGUAGGCGGCUUCGUCAGUCCGUUGUGAAAGUCCAGGGCUCAACCCUGGAAUGCCGAUGGAUACUGCGGAGCUCGAGUCCGGAAGAGGCAAGUGGAAUUCCUGGUGUAGCGGUGAAAUGCGCAGAUAUCAGGAGGAACACCAAUGGCGAAGGCGAUCUGCUGGACAGCAACUGACGCUGAGGCGCGAAAGCGUGGGGAGCAAAC
Molecule: ribosomal RNA, 250 nt
Filed under: uncultured bacterium
Lineage: Bacteria
Description: partial 16S ribosomal RNA
Rfam family: Bacterial small subunit ribosomal RNA
Source: RNAcentral